RNAcentral lists this ribosomal RNA (442 nucleotides) under uncultured bacterium. RNAcentral describes it as "partial 16S ribosomal RNA". It matches the Rfam family "Bacterial small subunit ribosomal RNA", at positions 338 to 795 of the family's 1533-position model. The record is from RNAcentral.
CCUACGGGGGGCAGCAGUGAGGAAUAUUGGUCAAUGGGCGCAAGCCUGACCCAGCAACGCCGCGUGAAGGAAGAAGGCUCUCGGGUUGUAAACUUCUUUUUAGAGGGAAGAGCAGAAGACGGUACCUCUUGAAUAAGCCACGGCUAACUACGUGCCAGCAGCCGCGGUAAUACGUAGGUGGCAAGCGUUGUCCGGAUUUACUGGGUGUAAAGGGCGUGUAGCCGGGCUGACAAGUCAGAUGUGAAAUUCCGGGGCUCAACCCCGGACCUGCAUUUGAAACUGUUGGUCUUGAGUAUCGGAGAGGCAGGCGGAAUUCCUAGUGUAGCGGUGAAAUGCGUAGAUAUUAGGAGGAACACCAGUGGCGAAGGCGGCCUGCUGGACGACAACUGACGGUGAGGCGCGAAAGCGUGGGUAUCAAACAGGAUUAGAUACCCCUGUAGUC